RNAcentral lists this long non-coding RNA (483 nucleotides) under Vigna radiata. RNAcentral's name for it is "long non-coding RNA (VRAD_LNC005961)". The record is from RNAcentral. Lineage: Eukaryota; Viridiplantae; Streptophyta; Magnoliopsida; Fabales; Fabaceae.
AAUCUUAUUCCUUAAAAUUACUUCUUCAUCUAAUGCUUUAUCAUAUUUAAGUUGUAAUUCAUGAAAUUCAAGUUUCAACUUAUUAUGUGCAACAUCUAAUUUUUCAAAUUCAUUCAAUAACUCAAGAAAUGUCUUUUGUAAAUCUAUUUCAUUAGUUUCAUGGCUAGAGUCACUUACUUGAGUUCUAGUGUCACAAAAUAAUCCAUUAAGCAAAGAUUUACUUCCUCAUCUGAGUCACUUGAGUUUGAGGAGUUGAAGUCAUUCUCUUCCCAAUCUAUGUAGGCUUUCUUCUUCUUUAGGAAUUUCUUUUCUUCACUUAUCUUGUUCUUGGGACAAUCAGACUUGACAUCUCUUCUUUCUCCACACCCAUAACACUUGAUGCUUGAUGAAGAUCCUUGAUUGUCCUUCUUUUCACUUCUGAACUUAUCCUUGUUCUUUGCUCUCAUGAAUUUAGCAAAUCUCUUUUUCAUGAGGCUCAUAUGC